CCUACAGAAAUAAACUCAAAUUCAUUAGAUGAAAAAUAGGAAGCUUAAAUUGAAGCAAAUAUAAGCAUGAAUAUGUAGUUGUACUACAGGAUAGUGUAUAACAAAAACAAAAGAAUUUUCCAUUAACAAACAAUUUCAAAGAAACAUUAAAGACAUAAUAGUCAAACAUUGAGAAAAAUACAAAUAUUACAUUUCCCAAAUUCAUACACGAGAACUUUUCAAAAGAUGCUUCAUUUUAUCUAACUGACAAAUCAAAAUAAAUGACUUUUACCAUGUAAUUCAAAUAUAUCAAGAAAAUUUUCCAAUAUGCAUUUGUACAGAUGUUGACCCACAUGCAUGAUAUAGGGUCAUAGCAUCCAGCCAAGUUGGAUAAAUUCUCCACAAAACAGCCUCUGAAAACAGUCAAUAAAAAUCUAAAUUCUCUAGCUCAAAUCAACUCUCGGUUGCUUGCUCAAAAGUCAAUGCAAACAUGAAUUACAGAGUUCUUGAUUGAUGUGAUAACCUUGCUAGGUUUCCCUAGAAAAUCCAUCAAAGUCCAUAACCCAAAGCAUCCACCGCCCAGAGCACACUAUAAGCCAGAUAGCAUCAUUCCAAUUCAAAGAUCAGCGGAGUGAAAGCCUUCAACUUAUCAAUGUCAAAACAGAUAUUUCCAGUGAACAUCACAAUAGCAUUAUUCAUAAAAGCAUAAACAUUUUUAUAAUCAGAUAAUAGUGUACAUGUGUAUCUGACCAUGGGUUGAGUAUGAUCCAAUAAUAUCUUAAUCAGAGAGAGUAUGAUAAGAUAUUUUACAUGCAUGACAAUGAAAGAACUAGAGUCAAAUUUGAGCACUCA
RNAcentral lists this unclassified non-coding RNA (831 nucleotides) under Hevea brasiliensis (rubber tree). The record is from RNAcentral. Lineage: Eukaryota; Viridiplantae; Streptophyta; Magnoliopsida; Malpighiales; Euphorbiaceae.